AUGACUGAAGCAAUGGUAGAGUGUAAGAUAACUGAAGGGGUUAAGCAAGGUGCUAGGCUUGCAGACUAUUAUGAUAGUAUUACUGCAAUGGGAAUUGAUUUUUCUAGGACACCAGAGAAUGACUUACUCCUCAUUUUGCUUUAUAAAGCAAUGCCCAAAACCAAUGAGAUUGGGUUGCAGAACCAACAAAAGGUACAGGUGAAAAAAAUAGAAAGUUUCAAAAAGAAACAUAACACCAAAAGUUACAAGGGUGGAGCAUCUCAUGAGACUUCAUGUUUCUACUGCAAAGAGAUAGGACACUGGGAAAGAAAUUACUUGAAGUAUCUGGCAGAUAAGAAGAACUCGUCUUCUGGUAAAGGUAUAAAAGUCAUACAAGUUAAUGUUAUUUAUAUUCUACUUGCUAAAAAGUCCAAGUCAUGGGUAUUUGAUACCGGAUAUGUUGCUCACAUUUGCAACAUGAUGCAGGGACUACGGAAAAUUCGCAAGCUGAGUAGAAAUGAAGUCGUGAUGCGAGUCAGGAAUGGUGAUGGGAUUGUCACUCUAGCCGUCGGUGUCACGUCUUUAAGUUUACCUUCAGGAUUUUUUUAG
RNAcentral lists this ribosomal RNA (588 nucleotides) under Triticum aestivum (bread wheat). RNAcentral's name for it is "partial small subunit ribosomal RNA". The record is from RNAcentral. Lineage: Eukaryota; Viridiplantae; Streptophyta; Magnoliopsida; Poales; Poaceae.